UGGGGAAUUUUGCGCAAUGGGGGAAACCCUGACGCAGCAACGCCGCGCGGACGAUGAAGCUUCUUGGAGUGUAAAGUCCUUUCGGCAGGGACGAAACCCGAGCAAUCGGGCCGACGGUACCUGAAGAAGAAGCCCCGGCUAACUCCGUGCCAGCAGCCGCGGUAAUACGGGGGGGGCGAGCGUUGUUCGGAAUUAUUGGGCGUAAAGGGAGCGUAGGCGGUGCGAUAAGUCGGGUGUGAAACCUCCAGGCUCAACUUGGAGCUGGCAUCCGAAACUGCCGUGCUAGAGUGCGGGAGGGGAGAGUGGACUUCCCGGUGUAGCGGUGAAAUGCGUAGAUAUCGGGAGGAACAUCGGUGGCGAAGGCGGCUCUCUGGACCGUAACUGACGCUGAGGCUCGAAAGCUAGGGGAGCAAACAGGAUUAGAUACCCUGGUAGUCCUAGCUGUAAACGAUGAACACUUGGUAUAGCGGGUAUCGAAUCCCGCUGUGCCGGAGCUAACGCAUUAAGUGUUCCGCCUGGGGAGUACGGUCGCAAGGCUGAAACUCAAACGAAUUGACGG
RNAcentral lists this ribosomal RNA (559 nucleotides) under uncultured bacterium. RNAcentral's name for it is "bacterial SSU rRNA". It matches the Rfam family "Bacterial small subunit ribosomal RNA", at positions 355 to 916 of the family's 1533-position model. The record is from RNAcentral.